This 481-nucleotide ribosomal RNA is filed under the name uncultured Lactobacillus sp. RNAcentral describes it as "bacterial SSU rRNA". It matches the Rfam family "Bacterial small subunit ribosomal RNA", at positions 9 to 455 of the family's 1533-position model. Lineage: Bacteria; Bacillati; Bacillota; Bacilli; Lactobacillales; Lactobacillaceae. The record is from RNAcentral.
GAGUUUGAUCCUGGCUCAGGACGAACGCUGGCGGCAUGCCUAAUACAUGCAAGUCGAACGAGGUUUCCUUAAUGAUAGUUGGUGCUUGCAUCAAUUUGACUUAAGAUCUAACCGAGUGGCGAACUGGUGAGUAACACGUGGGGAACCUGCCCUUAAGUAGGGGAUAACAUUUGGAAACAAAUGCUAAUACCGUAUAACAACAUAAACCACAUGGUUUAUGUUUGAAAGAUGGCUCUGCUAUCGCUUUUGGAUGGACCCGCGGCGUAUUAGCUAGUUGGUGAGAUAAUGGCUCACCAAGGCAACGAUCAGUAGCCGGCCUGAGAGGGUGGACGGCCACAUUGGGACUGAGACACGGCCCAGACUCCUACGGGAGGCAGCAGUGGGGAAUAUUGCACAAUGGAGGGAACUCUGAUGCAGCGACGCCGCGUGAGUGAAGAAGUAAUUCGUUAUGUAAAGCUCUAUCAGCAGGGAAGAAAGUGAC